GAGGAUUACACUGUCUCCCUCCCCCAAUCAAUGAAACUGACCUCCCCGUGAAGAAGCGGGGAUAGACAUAUAAGACGAGAAGACCCUAUGGAGCUUUAAACACACCACUACUUAUCUAAAUCUACUUCAUCCAAGACAGAUAAAACUAAUGUGCGUUUUCAGUUGGGGUGACUGCGGAGCAUAAUAAAACCUCCACGAUGAAAAACUAAUCCAAGAACAACAAUUCAAAGAAUCAAUAAAUUGACAUCAAUUGACCCAAGUAAAAUUAUUUGAUCAACGAACCAAGUUACCCUAGGGAUAACAGCGCAAUCCAUUUCAAGAGCUCAUAUCGACAAAUG
Molecule: ribosomal RNA, 338 nt
Filed under: Chiasmocleis mantiqueira
Lineage: Eukaryota; Metazoa; Chordata; Amphibia; Anura; Microhylidae
Description: partial 16S ribosomal RNA
Rfam family: Bacterial large subunit ribosomal RNA
Source: RNAcentral